GUCGUUUUGCCGUGCGUGACAUGAGGCAAACGGUGGCUGUUGGCGUCAUCAAGAACGUGGAGAAGAAGAGCGGCGGCGCCGGCAAGGUCACCAAGUCGGCGCAGAAGGCGCAGAAGGCGGGCAAGUGAAGCGCGGGCGCCCGCGGCGCGACCCUCCCCGGCGGCGCCGCGCUCCGAACCCCGGCCCGGCCCCCGCCCCGCCCCCGCCCCGCGCGCCGCUCCGGCGCCCCGCACCCCCGCCAGGCGCAUGUCUGCACCUCCGCUUGCCAGAGGCCCUCGGUCAGCGACUGGAUGCUCGCCAUCAAGGUCCAGUGGAAGUUCUUUAAGAGGAAAAGCGUCCCCGCCG
Molecule: unclassified non-coding RNA, 345 nt
Filed under: Hevea brasiliensis (rubber tree)
Lineage: Eukaryota; Viridiplantae; Streptophyta; Magnoliopsida; Malpighiales; Euphorbiaceae
Source: RNAcentral